UGUCAGCCAUAUUUUGACUUUUCAGCAUUAAUUAAAACCAGGACAUUAUUUGCAUGUAAUAACUGUUUACUUGUUACUUUUUAUGAAACUGAAAUAGUUUACAUUCUUUCAAACAUUUCCUGUUCCUGUUGGCUCCCUUCCCCACACACAGAUUUCUUUCAAACGGUGCCCUUAACUGGUUGCAGGAAGAGUUUCACCCUGACCAUCACUGUGUUC
Molecule: long non-coding RNA, 216 nt
Filed under: Homo sapiens (human)
Lineage: Eukaryota; Metazoa; Chordata; Mammalia; Primates; Hominidae
Description: non-protein coding lnc-SYF2-7:2
Source: RNAcentral